UAUGUAAAGCUCUUUCGACGAGUCGAGUUGUUUGGGAAUGCAGCUCUAAAUGGGAGGUAAAUUUCUUCUAAAGCUAAAUAUUGGCGAGAGACCGAUAGCGCACAAGUAGAGUGAUCGAAAGAUGAAAAGCACUUUGGAAAGAGAGUUAAAAAGCACGUGAAAUUGUUGAAAGGGAAGCGCUUGCAAUCAGACUUGUUUAAACUGUUCGGCCGGUCUUCUGACCGGUUUACUCAGUUUGGACAGGCCAGCAUCAGUUUCGGCGGCCGGAUAAAGGCUCUGGGAAUGUGGCCUUCACUUCGGUGAAGGUGUUAUAGCCCAGGGUGUAAUACGGCCAGCCGGGACUGAGGUCCGCGCUUCGGCUAGGAUGCUGGCGUAAUGGUUGUAAGCGACCCGUCUUGAAACACGGACCAAGGAGUCUAACAUCUAUGCGAGUGUUCGGGUGUCAAACCCCUGCGCGUAAUGAAAGUGAACGGAGGUGGGAACCGCAAGGUGCACCAUCGACCGAUCCUGAUGUCUUCGGAUGGAUUUGAGUAAGAGCAUAGCUGUUGGGACCCGAAAGAUGGUGAACUAUGCCUGAAUAGGGUGAAGCCAGAGGAAACUCUGGUGGAGGCUCGCAGCGGUUCUGACGUG
RNAcentral lists this ribosomal RNA (630 nucleotides) under Aureobasidium melanogenum. RNAcentral describes it as "partial large subunit ribosomal RNA". It matches the Rfam family "Eukaryotic large subunit ribosomal RNA", at positions 243 to 893 of the family's 3401-position model. The record is from RNAcentral. Lineage: Eukaryota; Fungi; Ascomycota; Dothideomycetes; Dothideales; Saccotheciaceae.